CCCUUAGAUGUUCUGGGCCGCACGCGCGCUACACUGAUGCAUUCAACAAGCCUAGCCUUGACCGAGAGGUCCGGGUAAUCUUUGAAACUGCAUCGUGAUGGGGCUAGAUUAUUGCAAUUAUUAAUCUUCAACGAGGAAUGCCUAGUAAGCGUGAUUCAUCAAACCGCGUUGAUUACGUCCCUGCCCUUUGUACACACCGCCCGUCGCUCCUACCGAUUGAAUGUGUUGGUGAGGAGCUCGGAUUGGCAGCAGUUGGUGGUUCGCCACCGGCUAUUGCUGAGAAGUCCUCCAAACCGCCCCAUUUAGAGGAAGGAGAAGUCGUAACA
Molecule: ribosomal RNA, 326 nt
Filed under: uncultured eukaryote
Lineage: Eukaryota
Description: partial 18S ribosomal RNA
Rfam family: Eukaryotic small subunit ribosomal RNA
Source: RNAcentral